UCCAUUGUAGUCUAGGUGGUUAGAUACUCUACUCUCACCCGCGAAACCCGGGUUCAAGUCCCGAUAAAGGAA
This 72-nucleotide transfer RNA is filed under the name Salix viminalis (osier). Lineage: Eukaryota; Viridiplantae; Streptophyta; Magnoliopsida; Malpighiales; Salicaceae. The record is from RNAcentral.